GGCCGCGUAGCGUAAUGGUUAACGCGUCACUUUCCGGUUAUGCUGGUGUAGGUGAGAUUGCAGUUUCGAAUACUGCCGUGGUCG
Non-coding RNA from Mucidula mucida, 84 nucleotides. NCBI's taxonomy places the organism in Eukaryota, Fungi, Basidiomycota, Agaricomycetes, Agaricales, Physalacriaceae. The record is from the annotation of a GenBank genome assembly.